Molecule: ribosomal RNA, 621 nt
Filed under: uncultured bacterium
Lineage: Bacteria
Description: bacterial SSU rRNA
Rfam family: Bacterial small subunit ribosomal RNA
Source: RNAcentral
GAGUUUGAUCCUGGCUCAGGACGAACGCUGGCGGCGUGCUUAACACAUGCAAGUCGAGCGAUGAAACUUCUUCGGAAGUGGAUUAGCGGCGGACGGGUGAGUAACACGUGGGCAACCUGCCCUAUAGAGGGGAAUAGCCUUCCGAAAGGAAGAUUAAUACCCCAUAAGAUUGUAGCUUCACAUGGAGCAGCAAUUAAAGGAGCAAUCCGCUAUAGGAUGGGCCCGCGUCGCAUUAGCUAGUUGGUGAGGUAACGGCUCACCAAGGCGACGAUGCGUAGCCGACCUGAGAGGGUGAUCGGCCACAUUGGGACUGAGACACGGCCCAGACUCCUACGGGAGGCAGCAGUGGGGAAUAUUGCACAAUGGGGGAAACCCUGAUGCAGCAACGCCGCGUGAGUGAUGAAGGCCUUCGGGUUGUAAAGCUCUGUCUUUGGGGACGAUAAUGACGGUACCCAAGGAGGAAGCCACGGCUAACUACGUGCCAGCAGCCGCGGUAAUACGUAGGUGGCAAGCGUUGUCCGGAUUUACUGGGCGUAAAGGGAGCGUAGGCGGAUUUUUAAGUGGGAUGUGAAAUACUCGGGCUCAACCCGAGUGCUGCAUUCCAAACUGGGAAUCUAGAGU